GACGUAGGUGGCGAACGUUAUCCGGAAUUAUUGGGCGUAAAGGAUGCGUAGCUGGUGUAGUAAGUUAUCGGUGGUAAAUCGAGGCUCAACCUCGUGGAAGUCGGUAAUACUGCUAUGCUAGAGGAUAGGAGAGGUUAACGGAACUCCCUGUGGAGCGGUGAAAUGCGUAGAUAUAGGGAAGAACACCAAUAAGGCGAAGGCAGUUAACUAUUCUAUUCCUGACAGUGAGGCAUGAAAGCGUGGGGAGCAAAACGG
RNAcentral lists this ribosomal RNA (255 nucleotides) under uncultured bacterium. RNAcentral's name for it is "partial 16S ribosomal RNA". It matches the Rfam family "Bacterial small subunit ribosomal RNA", at positions 524 to 776 of the family's 1533-position model. The record is from RNAcentral.